AUUCAGUCGUGAAGAUAUCUCAUAUCUCUGAUUUUUAUGAUUGACGGCGUUGACGAUUGAUGAAGGGCUCGAUUGGUGGUACUGGUACUAGACUGUGCCGUCAUUGUGUUGUGC
This 114-nucleotide small RNA is filed under the name Pteridomonas danica. Its description in RNAcentral is "partial Cyanobacteria transfer-messenger RNA". The record is from RNAcentral. Lineage: Eukaryota; Dictyochophyceae; Pedinellales.